Nerophis ophidion (straightnose pipefish) is the source of this 542-nucleotide long non-coding RNA. RefSeq lists it as uncharacterized. NCBI's taxonomy places the organism in Eukaryota, Metazoa, Chordata, Actinopteri, Syngnathiformes, Syngnathidae. The transcript has 3 exons. The record is from RefSeq and is a predicted model, not a curated record.
GUUGCGCCUCAAUCUCAAAGAACCUCACUGAGGCAAAAAGAGGAAGACAAGGCGUCAUGCAGCGGCGCCAAGAAGUGACGACAGAGCACAAACAUGGGUGUUAGGCACAACGACACAACAACAACUGACGGUGAAUACUUCAGGUUUGUUAUCCAAGGCAGCGUGUUUGCAGAAGGAAGAAGGGAUGAGACAAGAUAAGUUGACAAAAAAAUGCCACAAACUCAACAGCAGAUGAACAGCUGUCAAAACCAGAGGAGCUAAUAGAGGAGGUUCUACUGGAGCACCGGUUGACUGACACCACGCCAUGGUCCAGGAAGUCGUCUGUGUCCGAGAAUGCUCCUCGAAGCUUCGGAGCAGUGCUGAGAAUUUCUUUGUUCUGAUGAAAAAACAGUUCUGUGGAAAAAUAUAAUAACUGUCAGUAAAACUCAGGCUGUAUUUAAAACUGAGAAGUAUAUAUGAAUGACUAAUGAAUGGAAAUAUUACAUGCAUGCAGUCACAAUGCCAUAAGAAAUGAUUUCACUCACCAUAUUUGUUCGAAUAAA